UACGGGGGGGGCAAGCGUUGUUCGGAAUUACUGGGCGUAAAGGGCUCGUAGGUGGCCAACUAAGUCAGACGUGAAAUCCCUCGGCUUAACCGGGGAACUGCGUCUGAUACUGGAUGGCUUGAGUUUGGGAGAGGGACGCGGAAUUCCAGGUGUAGCGGUGAAAUUCGUAGAUAUUCGCAAGAACACCAGUGGCGAAGGCGGCUCACUGGCCCGGUACUGACGCUGAGGUGCGAAAGCGUGGGGAGCAAACAGG
This 253-nucleotide ribosomal RNA is filed under the name uncultured bacterium. RNAcentral's name for it is "partial 16S ribosomal RNA". It matches the Rfam family "Bacterial small subunit ribosomal RNA", at positions 524 to 776 of the family's 1533-position model. The record is from RNAcentral.